This 75-nucleotide transfer RNA is filed under the name Neisseria gonorrhoeae. Its description in RNAcentral is "tRNA-Pro". It matches the Rfam family "tRNA". From Rfam's summary of the family: Transfer RNA (tRNA) molecules are approximately 80 nucleotides in length. Their secondary structure includes four short double-helical elements and three loops (D, anti-codon, and T loops). The record is from RNAcentral. RNAcentral also lists the same sequence under 1 other name. Lineage: Bacteria; Pseudomonadati; Pseudomonadota; Betaproteobacteria; Neisseriales; Neisseriaceae.
CGGGAUGUAGCUCAGCUUGGUAGAGCGUCCGCUUUGGGAGCGGAAGGUCGCAGGUUCAAAUCCUGUCAUCCCGAC